Molecule: ribosomal RNA, 275 nt
Filed under: uncultured bacterium
Lineage: Bacteria
Description: partial 16S ribosomal RNA
Rfam family: Bacterial small subunit ribosomal RNA
Source: RNAcentral
AUACGUAGGGGGCAAGCGUUGUCCGGAAUUACUGGGCGUAAAGAGCUCGUAGGCGGCUCAGCAAGUCGGUCGUGAAAGCCCGAGGCUCAACCUCGGAACUGCGGUCGAUACUGCUGUGGCUAGAGUCCGGUAGAGGAGAGUGGAAUUCCCGGUGUAGCGGUGGAAUGCGCAGAUAUCGGGAGGAACACCAGUGGCGAAGGCGGCUCUCUGGGCCGGUACUGACGCUGAGGAGCGAAAGCGUGCGGAGCAAACAGGAUUAGAAACCCUAGUAGUCC